RNAcentral lists this ribosomal RNA (773 nucleotides) under uncultured Neocallimastigales. Its description in RNAcentral is "partial large subunit ribosomal RNA". It matches the Rfam family "Eukaryotic large subunit ribosomal RNA", at positions 24 to 647 of the family's 3401-position model. The record is from RNAcentral. Lineage: Eukaryota; Fungi; Neocallimastigomycota; Neocallimastigomycetes; Neocallimastigales.
UAUGUGAUCGUCUCUCGCAUAUCAAUAAGCGGAGGAAAAGAAACUAACAAGGAUUCCCCUAGUAACGGCGAGUGAAGCGGGAAGAGCUCAAAUUUGAAAUCUUAAAGGGUUUCCCUUUACGAAUUGUAGUUUAAAGAAGUGUUUUCUGUUGAGGUUUUGGUAAAAGUUCUUUGGAAUAGGGCAUCAUAGAGGGUGAGAAUCCCGUAUUUGACCUUUACUUUCAACUUUGUGAUACACUUUCAAAGAGUCGGAUUGUUUGGGAAUGCAGUCCAAAAUGGGUGGUAAAUUUCAUCUAAAGCUAAAUAUUGGCGAGAGACCGAUAGCGAACAAGUACCGUGAGGGAAAGAUGAAAAGAACUUUGAAAAGAGAGUUAAACAGUACGUGAAAUUGUCAAAAGGGAAGCGUUUGACACCAGUGUUGUUUUUCUGAAAAUCAAUUAAAGAACUGUUUAUGCUAAGCUGUUUAGACUUUAUCAGCUACUGUUUAGUUUUGAGCUUUUCUUUAAUGCACUUUUCAGUUAACAAGUCAACAUCAAUUUCUUUUGCUGUAAAAAAGCUUGAGGAAGGUGGCUUGAGAUUCGUCUUAAGUGUUUAUAGCCUCUUGCCUAUGCAGUCGGAGAGAUUGAGGUCUGCAGCGUAGAUCCUUCGGGGCUAAAUGCAUUUGUGCUAAGUUAUAGCAUUUUAUAGACAACUUGUUGACUAUGAUUUGUCUUGUAGCUUACUCGCUUAUGUUAUUUUACCUACGCUUAGGAUGUUGAUCUGUAGUGCGUGCGC